Molecule: long non-coding RNA, 214 nt
Filed under: Lotus japonicus
Lineage: Eukaryota; Viridiplantae; Streptophyta; Magnoliopsida; Fabales; Fabaceae
Description: long non-coding RNA (LJAP_LNC000979)
Source: RNAcentral
GCAUUCCCUUGCGAUCCUUUGAUCCACAACAAUUCCCCCAAUAUGCCCAUUCGACAGCGGAUACUUCACCGCCAGUUGGGCUGUUGAGAUCACAGCGCACAGACGGUUUAAGGUGAUUCGCCCGAUGAUCAUGUUGUAUGACCCUUCCGUCUCAAGGAUUAGAUAUUUAACGCUGAGCGUCCUAGCGUUCUCUUCCUCGCCAAACGUGGUGUCA